UGCUAGCGUUGCUCGGAAUCACUGGGCGUAAAGGGUGCGUAGGCGGGCCUUUAAGUCAGGGGUGAAAUCCUGGAGCUCAACUCCAGAACUGCCUUUGAUACUGAAGAUCUUGAGUCCGGGAGAGGUGAGUGGAACUGCGAGUGUAGAGGUGAAAUUCGUAGAUAUUCGCAAGAACACCAGUGGCGAAGGCGGCUCACUGGCCCGGUACUGACGCUGAGGCACGAAAGCGUGGGGAGCAAACAGG
RNAcentral lists this ribosomal RNA (244 nucleotides) under uncultured bacterium. RNAcentral describes it as "partial 16S ribosomal RNA". It matches the Rfam family "Bacterial small subunit ribosomal RNA", at positions 533 to 776 of the family's 1533-position model. The record is from RNAcentral.